GUAGCUCAGUUGGUAGAGCAUGAGACUCUUAAUAUCAGGGUUGUGGGUUCGAGCCCCACGUUGAGCA
Molecule: non-coding RNA, 67 nt
Organism: Podarcis lilfordi (Lilford's wall lizard)
Lineage: Eukaryota; Metazoa; Chordata; Lepidosauria; Squamata; Lacertidae
Source: the annotation of a GenBank genome assembly